Molecule: unclassified non-coding RNA, 278 nt
Filed under: Hevea brasiliensis (rubber tree)
Lineage: Eukaryota; Viridiplantae; Streptophyta; Magnoliopsida; Malpighiales; Euphorbiaceae
Source: RNAcentral
UUAGUAAGGAGCUUUUUGCUUUAUUGAAUAAAACAGAAUCCAGGCUUCUGUGUUCCAUGUACUCAUAAAUGAGCAUCUUCUCAUCCAUCUCAAUGCAGCAACCGAGCAGUCGAACAAGAUUUCUGUGUUGAAGCCUUGCUAUUAACCUGACCUCAUUCUUGAAUUCUUCUAUUCCUUGCCCAGAGGUCUUUGACAGCCUCUUUACAGCUACCUCUUGUUCUUCUACUAGCCUACCCUUGUAAACACGGCCAAAACCUCCUUGUCCUAGCAUAUUUUCA